Molecule: ribosomal RNA, 388 nt
Filed under: uncultured bacterium
Lineage: Bacteria
Description: bacterial SSU rRNA
Rfam family: Bacterial small subunit ribosomal RNA
Source: RNAcentral
AUUGAACGCUGGCGGCAUGCCUUACACGUGCAAGUCGAACGGCAGCACGGGAGCAAUCCUGGUGGCGAGUGGCGAACGGGUGAGUAAUAUAUCGGAACGUGCCCAGUCGUGGGGAUAACGUAGCGAAAGCUACGCUAAUACCGCAUACGAUCUACGGAUGAAAGCGGGGGGAUCGCAAGACCUCGCGCGAUUGGAGCGGCCGAUAUCAGAUUAGGUAGUUGGUGAGGUAAAGGCUCACCAAGCCGACGAUCUGUAGCUGGUCUGAGAGGACGACCAGCCACACUGGGACUGAGACACGGCCCAGACUCCUACGGGAGGCAGCAGUGGGGAAUUUUUGGACAAUGGGCGCAAGCCUGAUCCAGCAAUGCCGCGUGCAGGAUGAAGGCCU